Long non-coding RNA from Oryzias javanicus (javanese ricefish), 1575 nucleotides. The record is from Ensembl. NCBI's taxonomy places the organism in Eukaryota, Metazoa, Chordata, Actinopteri, Beloniformes, Adrianichthyidae.
AUAAUGACUUUUUCUACGAGCGAGAGUGGAACUUGCUCACUGUCCUUUCUUGCCAGUAAUAAAUUCUUCUUAGCCAAGAACAGAGCAAGAUGUUGAGCAAACAUGUUGAACCUCAAGGUCAGCCUUUUAGAACACUCUGAUUCGGAUGUGAAGCUAAACGUUUCUAGUGCGAGGACGAACUGUACAGUCAUGGGUUUAUGAUCAGGUUCCUGAACCGGUCAGUUGUUAGUCAAACACUCACCUGCCUAAUAGCCAAAGACAUUUCCUGUUUUCCAUCAACACUAAAGCCAUAGAUCAAGCCUUUGAUUUUCCUCCUGAAAUAGACUCUUUUGAAUCUUUUACUUGAAAAGUAUAUUUCACGCUGCUGCUCCCCUAUCUGAUGGUGCGGGGCGAGUAAUGUGUUCAAAAGAAGCGCUUCGGGACGACGAGACAAACCCUCCGCUUUCUAAAAAAACAUACUGGACGGAUCAAACUUGUAGAGAUUUAGUACACUAAUACCAAUCAGAACUGAUGCAUCUAUAGAGUCUAAGAUAGCUGGUUUUUAUUACAAUCUAUACUAUAUUUACUCCAAAUUUUAUUUUUAUCUGUAACGUAGAAAUACUCACUGCUGGUACAGUUGUACUCAAUCUAUUUUUUUGUUUUUUGUAACGGGUUUUCAUGACUAUAUGUAUCCCAUUAGCAUCCGUCUCCAAGAGGCAGCCUCUGGAAAGGUUUGUCUGGAAUGCAGUUUGGAUUCCUUUUGUUGUGGGUCUGCAGAGCAGGAUGCUGUAGCUUUACACAUGACUGAAAACGGCAAAAUCUCAUUUGUGUGUAGCAGUGGUUUUAUUUAUUCCUGCUGACUUCUGCUAAAGUUUAGUGAAAGUACUAGAAUACUUUCUUCACUUCAAAAUAUCAUUUUACUGCAAACAUGUGAAGCCUUCGUUUGUUCAUAAACAUUCCACUUUUUUUUUUUUCUUCAGUUGAUAUAUAAAAUUGGCAAAAAAAAAAAAAGAAUCCCCUCCUCCCAAAAAGUUAGAAAAUUUAGCACCGACAUAUGAAAUAUGUAAAGUUUAUAAUGGAAACACUCACCUGAAGUUCUUCAUUUGUUACACUUGUUUGUAUUUUUCACUAAAGACUGUCAUUGCGCCGUGCGGAAUGACACAGAUUUUGUUUUGUUUUUUAAUUAUUCUGGAGUAGCGUACUCGUGUAGAACUAAUCUCCGUUUUUCUGAUGAUGAAUACGUGCAGGAACACAGCGGUCUUUUGAUGGAAGACUUCGUUCAGAGUUUAGAGUUGAAACGUCUUCUAUGUGCCAUUGUAGAAAUGAGGGAUUAUCACUGAGUCUGCUUGUUUGAUACAAGUGUGUGUGUGUGUGUGUGUGUGUGUGAGGGGUAUAUUAGGUCUCUGUUAUUUAAUUUCUGUUUUUAGACUACCUGUAUCUCGGAGAAUGUUUAUAAAGUUUGACACUCAGAUCCGUCAGUGUAGAAAUAAAAGUAGAUUUUUUUUUCUUUGUUUUUAUCACUUUUGGUAUUUUGUCUGGAAGACAAACAGCUUUUUUGUACUUACCUCUCUUCCAAAUAAAUAUAUAAUACCUACU